AGGGUUCGAUUCUGGCUCAGGAUGAACGCUGGCGGCGUGCCUAACACAUGCAAGUCGAACGAAGCACUGCGGAUGGAGAUUCGUCAAAAUCUGCUUUGACUUAGUGGCGGACGGGUGAGUAAUGUGUGAGCAACCUGCCUUUCAGAGGGGGACAACAGUUGGAAACGACUGCUAAUACCGCAUAAUGUAUUGGAAGGGCAUCCUUUUUGAUACCAAAGGAGCAAUCCGCUGAAAGAUGAGCUCACAUCUGAUUAGCUAGUUGGUGGGGUAACGGCCUACCAAGGCUGCGAUCAGUAGCCGGACUGAGAGGUUGAACGGCCACAUUGGGACUGAGAUACGGCCCAGACUCCUACGGGAGGCAGCAGUGGGGAAUAUUGGGCAAUGGGCGAAAAAGCCUGACCCAGCAACGCCGCGUGAAGGAAGAAGGUCUUCGGAUUGUAAACUUCUUUUAUGAGGGACGAAGGACGUGACGGUACCUCAUGAAUAAGCCACGGCUAACUACGUGCCAGCCGCCGC
RNAcentral lists this ribosomal RNA (516 nucleotides) under uncultured bacterium. Its description in RNAcentral is "bacterial SSU rRNA". It matches the Rfam family "Bacterial small subunit ribosomal RNA", at positions 8 to 518 of the family's 1533-position model. The record is from RNAcentral.